This 71-nucleotide transfer RNA is filed under the name Capra hircus (goat). It matches the Rfam family "tRNA". Rfam says of the family: Transfer RNA (tRNA) molecules are approximately 80 nucleotides in length. Lineage: Eukaryota; Metazoa; Chordata; Mammalia; Artiodactyla; Bovidae. RNAcentral also lists the same sequence under 1 other name. The record is from Rfam by way of RNAcentral.
UCCCUGGUGGCUCAGUGAUAAAGAAUCUGCCUCUAAUGCAGGAGACACAGGUUUGAUCCCUGGUCCAGGAA